AAAGUUACCCGAUAGCUUCAUCUCUCUUGAUCUGUGCCUUCCUUGCUUGACGGACGUCGGUGUCAUUAGAGUUCUUGGCUACGGCUGGUUCGUAAGGCCUGAAUCUUCUUUUAGGGGCACCACAAACUGCAGGUGGUAGAAAAUUCCUUGAGCAAGCAUUUUGAUGAUUACUGAACUCGGUUUAAUGAUUGAACUCCGUUUGCAGGCCCUAAUUGAAUGUGCUGAUGAAAAGGUUGAACUCGCCGGGACAGAAGUACUUAUCAGGCAGCUUCUCAAAUGGCGUCCUGUCAUUGUAGAUAUAGCUGCAGGUACAUUGUCAUGGAAAGCACCGAAGCAGACGAGUAUGUUAGCCAUCAACGUUAUAGAGAGAACAGAGGCAACAGAUGGAAGGAAGGGAAACCCGCAGUCGCGGCAGAUGUAGGCCUACUUGGACACCACGCGCAUGGAGAACCUCGGCGCCGUGGCGGGGCAUCGGCUCGGUGGCGGCAGCAGGAGGUGCAGGGAGGGAGAGAAGGCGGCUGACCGGAGGGCGUAGCGGUCGGCGGGGCCGCGCAGGCCUGGAUGGCUGGGUGGAUUGGUCCCCCGCGAAGCCGCGAUGGUGGAUCUCAGCCCUGCCACUGCUUGAAGGGCCAUCUCUCGCUCUCUCUCUCUCUCUCUCUCUCUCUCUCGUUACAUGAGACGAGGGGAUAAGAGAGAAGGUAAUAGAAGUGUGGCGAUCGCAGGCCAAUUGUGAAGUGCAUGGGAACGUGGAAGCUUGGCUGCCACACUAAUCUCUCCUGCUGCUUAUCUCCUUUCUGCUCCUUUACUUUUCCUGUUUACGCCAUGAAUUCUUUUAGAUUACGAGUUCACUCUACUUACUUUGUCUUCCUUUGAGAGCAGCACAUGAAAGCAUCAGAGGAAAACCUAAGCUCGAUUAAACUAUAAAACAGUCUUUCUACUCUGUGAUACUUGAGCUUAAAGUUCAUCGUUGAUCCGAACACAACAGGUGGAUGCUUUGUGAUCAUAGAGAGCUUAAUCUUGUUGUUUUAUGAUGCGUAAAUCCAAGAAAGAAGAAAACUUUUUUGUUGCUACCGCCAAUGAUUCGUCCUGUUUAUCUUUUCAGACCAAAACCCCGCAUCAGAUCUGUAAAUACAAGACGUGAUGGUGACUGUUCAAAGCGUGCCGUACAAUAAAGCGGAAGCCGGGGAUCAAGGUUUUGCCGACGGCAACAAGACGCAUGAGAGGAUGAUUCGACGUCGUGGCGGAGAUUGGCUACCCCUCCUCUCCUCCGGUACACUGUACACGUACGUAAAAAUCUACUGUAGCUACUCCAGCGCCACCUCCAUCCAUGGCGUACGUCGGCGUGCAUCGGCUCUGUUCACUGUGGCCGAUCCCCCUCGGUUGUCCGCCUCGUCGACGUACCCGAAGACGACAUGUUCUUUAUAUCUAUCUACGCAAACAGUGUGAAGCUUUUAUGCCUCAUUUCUCACACUGAUCUCUUCUGCGCCCCGAAACAGGAAGCUGUUGUGUAAAGAUUUAAUGGAGGAUGAGACAAAACAGAAGACUGUGGCCAAGUACAUUCGGCAGCCUUUCUCAGCUCUAUUCUCGUUGUAAGUGCCUCCUCCCUCUCUCAAUCUCUCUCUCUCUCUACAAUUCUCCCC
This 1640-nucleotide long non-coding RNA is filed under the name Musa acuminata (dwarf banana). RNAcentral's name for it is "long non-coding RNA (MACU_LNC003206)". The record is from RNAcentral. Lineage: Eukaryota; Viridiplantae; Streptophyta; Magnoliopsida; Zingiberales; Musaceae.